This is a non-coding RNA of Pristionchus pacificus, 72 nucleotides long. The record is from Rfam. NCBI's taxonomy places the organism in Eukaryota, Metazoa, Nematoda, Chromadorea, Rhabditida, Neodiplogasteridae.
GCCAGCUUGGCCUAGGGGCAAGGCGUCGCUCUUGUAAAGCGAAGAUCGGUGGUUCGAAUCCGCCAGUUGGCA